AGAGCGAACGCUGGCGGCAGGCCUAACACAUGCAAGUCGAGCGGCCGUAGCAAUACGGCAGCGGCAGACGGGAGAGUAACACGUGGGAACGCGCCCUUCGGUUCGGAAUAACUCAGGGAAACUUGGGCUAAUACCGGAUACGCCCUUACGGGGAAAGAUUUAUUGCCGAAGGAACGGCCCGCGUCCGAUUAGCUUGUUGGUGAGGUAACGGCUCACCAAGGCGACGAUCGGUAGCUGGUCUGAGAGGAUGACCAGCCUCACUGGGACUGAGACACGGCCCAGACUCCUACGGGAGGCAGCAGUGGGGAAUAUUGGACAAUGGGCGCAAGCCUGAUCCAGCCAUGCCGCGUGGGUGAUGAAGGCCCUAGGGUUGUAAAGCCCUUUCGGCGGGGAAGAUAAUGACGGUACCCGCAGAAGAAGCCCCGGCUAACUUCGCGCCAGCAGCCGC
Molecule: ribosomal RNA, 448 nt
Filed under: uncultured bacterium
Lineage: Bacteria
Description: SSU rRNA
Rfam family: Bacterial small subunit ribosomal RNA
Source: RNAcentral